This 320-nucleotide ribosomal RNA is filed under the name uncultured Prevotella sp. Its description in RNAcentral is "partial 16S ribosomal RNA". Lineage: Bacteria; Pseudomonadati; Bacteroidota; Bacteroidia; Bacteroidales; Prevotellaceae. The record is from RNAcentral.
GGAGUUUGGUCCGUGUCUCAGUACCAAUGUGGGGGACCUUCCUCUCAGAACCCCUACUGAUCGUCGCCUUGGUGGGCCGUUACCCCGCCAACUGGCUAAUCAGACGCAUCCCCAUCCCUUACCGAUGAAUCUUUGCUCCUCGUUAGAUGCCCGCAAAGGAGAACAUAGGGCAUUAAUCCGCAUUUCUACGGGCUAUGCCCUACUAUGGGGAAGGUUGGAUACGCGUUACUCACCCGUGCGCCGGUCGCCAUCGACAAUAGCAAGCUAUCGUCAUGCUGCCCCUCGACUUGCAUGUGUUAAGCCUGUAGCUAGCGUUCAUC